AGCUACCAUGCAGUCGACGGAUCCUUCGGGAUUAGUGGCGGACGGGUGAGUAACACGUGGGAACGUGCCCUUUGGUUCGGAACAACUCAGGGAAACUUGAGCUAAUACCGGAUGAGCCCUACGGGGGAAAGAUUUAUCGCCAUUGGAGCGGCCCGCGUCUGAUUAGCUAGUUGGUGAGGUAAAGGCUCACCAAGGCGACGAUCAGUAGCUGGUCUGAGAGGAUGAUCAGCCACAUUGGGACUGAGACACGGCCCAAACUCCUACGGGAGGCAGCAGUGGGGAAUCUUGCGCAAUGGGCGAAAGCCUGACGCAGCCAUGCCGCGUGAAUGAUGAAGGUCUUAGGAUUGUAAAAUUCUUUCAGCAGGGACGAUAAUGACGGUACCUGCAGAAGAAGCCCCGGCUAACUUCGUGCCAGCAGCCGCGGUAAUACGAAGGGGGCUAGCGUUGCUCGGAAUUACUGGGCGUAAAGGGCGCGUAGGCGGGUCGCUAAGUUGGGGGUGAAAGCCCAGGGCUCAACCCUGGAAUUGCCUUCAAUACUGGCGGCCUUGAGUAUGGCAGAGGUGUGUGGAACUCCGAGUGUAGAGGUGAAAUUCGUAGAUAUUCGGAAGAACACCAGUGGCGAAGGCGACACACUGGGCCAUUACUGACGCUGAGGCGCGAAAGCGUGGGGAGCAAACAGGAUUAGAUACCCUGGUAGUCCACGCUGUAAACGAUGAGUGCUAGUUGUCGGCAUGCAUGCAUGUCGGUGACGCANCUAACGCAUUAAGCACUCCGCCUGGGGAGUACGGUCGCAAGAUUAAAACUCUAAGGAAUUGACGGGGGGCCCGCACAAGCGGUGGAGCAUGUGGUU
Molecule: ribosomal RNA, 850 nt
Filed under: uncultured bacterium
Lineage: Bacteria
Description: bacterial SSU rRNA
Rfam family: Bacterial small subunit ribosomal RNA
Source: RNAcentral